UGUGUAACAAGCCUUGCAAGGGCUUAAGAAUUUUUUGUUCUUUUGUCAGAUAAUGCCGGGGAAGGUUUUUCCGGUUUAUCCCGGAGGGCUUGUAGCUCAGUUGGUUAGAGCGCGCGCUUGAUAAGCGUGAGGUCGGAGGUUCAAGUCCUCCCAGGCCCACCAAUUUAUGAUGAUUUAAUAAGAUUUAAAGAAUUAUCUAUAUCUUUAUUAUUUUUUAUAAUCAUUGCUUAUCGCGUUUUUGAUGCUUUAAGGCGGUUAUUUAAAUUUUAAGACAGUUAUUUAAAUCGUGAUUUAAAUAAGUCUGUUUAUUUAAGUUUAUUUACACUUUUUUACCCUUUUUAGGGGCCGUAGCUCAGCUGGGAGAGCACCUGCUUUGCAAGCAGGGGGUCGUCGG
Molecule: unclassified non-coding RNA, 394 nt
Filed under: Bartonella sp.
Lineage: Bacteria; Pseudomonadati; Pseudomonadota; Alphaproteobacteria; Hyphomicrobiales; Bartonellaceae
Description: partial 16S-23S ribosomal RNA intergenic spacer
Rfam family: tRNA (bases 86-159)
Source: RNAcentral